This 733-nucleotide long non-coding RNA is filed under the name Homo sapiens (human). RNAcentral's name for it is "HSALNT0028769". Lineage: Eukaryota; Metazoa; Chordata; Mammalia; Primates; Hominidae. The record is from RNAcentral.
GUGCUGAUCCCAGAAGGGCCUGGACAGAAUGUCUCUGUGUUCUGACUUCCGUUUUCCACUUUCAGCACCUGCCUGUGUACCUAGAGAACGGAGUGCCGGGUUAAUUGUUGCCUCCUGUGCUGUUACUAGGUUACUUUGUAAAAGCAGAAAUGUGCUUCUAAUGAUUUUUGCUGUUGCUGCUACCUUACGAGCCAGACACUUUUAUCUAAAUGAGUUGCAACACAUCAAGGGUGGCCCGUGAGGACUGCUAGGCUACGUCUGUCUUCCACAGGUAAGUGGCUUGAUCGCACUGUGGCUCUGUGAUCCAUCUGAAGAAACACGCGGGAUGGCUUACCACCCUGACUGCUCUUCUGGAAAGGAGGCCAGCAGCUGAGCAGCAGUCAGCACGGAGGUACCCAUCAUGGAGCCACAGCCUGGCACGAAUUGAUGUCUGGAUCCAGGCAGGGUCACCAAAGGCAGGAGAAGAAUCCAACCAUCAUGCUGUGAAAAGCCCAACGUAACCACAUGGAGAGGCCACAUGGAAAGGAACUGAAGCUGUGGUCAACAGCAGCAGUUGAGUUCCCAGUCAACAGCCAGCUCCAACUUUCUAGUCAUGUGAGUGAGCCAUCUUGGAAGUGCAUCUUGCAACCUCAGUCAAGCCAUGUUAGCUGGCAUCAUGAAGAGCAAACAUGAACCAUCCUUGCUGAGCCCUGCCCAAACUGCAGAAUUCUGAGCAAAUAAAUGUUGUUCUUUU